Molecule: ribosomal RNA, 1372 nt
Filed under: uncultured bacterium
Lineage: Bacteria
Description: bacterial SSU rRNA
Rfam family: Bacterial small subunit ribosomal RNA
Source: RNAcentral
GAUGAACGCUGGCGGCGUGCCUAAUACAUGCAAGUCGAGCGAACGGACGAGAAGCUUGCUUCUCUGAUGUUAGCGGCGGACGGGUGAGUAACACGUGGAUAACCUACCUAUAAGACUGGGAUAACUUCGGGAAACCGGAGCUAAUACCGGAUAAUAUUUUGAACCGCAUGGUUCAAAAGUGAAAGACGGUCUUGCUGUCACUUAUAGAUGGAUCCGCGCUGCAUUAGCUAGUUGGUAAGGUAACGGCUUACCAAGGCAACGAUGCAUAGCCGACCUGAGAGGGUGAUCGGCCACACUGGAACUGAGACACGGUCCAGACUCCUACGGGAGGCAGCAGUAGGGAAUCUUCCGCAAUGGGCGAAAGCCUGACGGAGCAACGCCGCGUGAGUGAUGAAGGUCUUCGGAUCGUAAAACUCUGUUAUUAGGGAAGAACAUAUGUGUAAGUAACUGUGCACAUCUUGACGGUACCUAAUCAGAAAGCCACGGCUAACUACGUGCCAGCAGCCGCGGUAAUACGUAGGUGGCAAGCGUUAUCCGGAAUUAUUGGGCGUAAAGCGCGCGUAGCCGGUUUUUUAAGUCUGAUGUGAAAGCCCUCGGCUCAACCGUGGAGGGUCAUUGGAAACUGGAAAACUUGAGUGCAGAAGAGGAAAGUGGAAUUCCAUGUGUAGCGGUGAAAUGCGCAGAGAUAUGGAGGAACACCAGUGGCGAAGGCGACUUUCUGGUCUGUAACUGACGCUGAUGUGCGAAAGCGUGGGGAUCAAACAGGAUUAGAUACCCUGGUAGUCCACGCCGUAAACGAUGAGUGCUAAGUGUUAGGGGGUUUCCGCCCCUUAGUGCUGCAGCUAACGCAUUAAGCACUCCGCCUGGGGAGUACGACCGCAAGGUUGAAACUCAAAGGAAUUGACGGGGACCCGCACAAGCGGUGGAGCAUGUGGUUUAAUUCGAAGCAACGCGAAGAACCUUACCAAAUCUUGACAUCCUUUGACAACUCUAGAGAUAGAGCCUUCCCCUUCGGGGGACAAAGUGACAGGUGGUGCAUGGUUGUCGUCAGCUCGUGUCGUGAGAUGUUGGGUUAAGUCCCGCAACGAGCGCAACCCUUAAGCUUAGUUGCCAUCAUUAAGUUGGGCACUCUAAGUUGACUGCCGGUGACAAACCGGAGGAAGGUGGGGAUGACGUCAAAUCAUCAUGCCCCUUAUGAUUUGGGCUACACACGUGCUACAAUGGACAAUACAAAGGGCAGCGAAACCGCGAGGUCAAGCAAAUCCCAUAAAGUUGUUCUCAGUUCGGAUUGUAGUCUGCAACUCGACUACAUGAAGCUGGAAUCGCUAGUAAUCGUAGAUCAGCAUGCUACGGUGAAUACGUUCCCGGGUCU